Molecule: non-coding RNA, 171 nt
Filed under: Desulfobulbaceae bacterium
Lineage: Bacteria; Pseudomonadati; Thermodesulfobacteriota; Desulfobulbia; Desulfobulbales; Desulfobulbaceae
Also listed under: 1 other name
Description: 6S RNA
Rfam family: 6S / SsrS RNA
About the family: E. coli 6S RNA was the first non coding RNA to be sequenced, but its function was unknown until recently. It consists of 184 nucleotides that fold into an extended hairpin structure with a large single-stranded internal bulge.
Source: RNAcentral
UUUUCCCUGCGCUGUUGGUGAUUUGUAGUGUUGUUGAGCCAACUCUCUUAAAUAGGGACUUACCACUGUUUUCGGAUGGAAGGUCGAAAGACUUUCCUGAGGUCGUCAUGCGAGUCCCACCUAUUUCGAUAGGUUCUAUCUGUCCUGCAGACACGGCAGGGUGGGGAAAUA